GAGCAGCAGCCAAGUCCUCCACCACUCUGCCCAAAGCUCUGCAUGGCUCUCGGGCCACCAAGGACCCUGUGCCCUGGCAGUCUGGACCCAGGGGACUGAGCCUUCCGGUGGUUGCUGCUGCCUCCAAGUAUCAAAGAAUCGCCGACACAGACUCGCUGGCUGUUCCUUUUUCCUAUGCAUAUACUUCUUUGUGGAUCUGGUCUAAAGAGGUAUAGCGCAUGGGAAAAUGGAGCAGUGAGAUCUUCCCCUCCAGAAGGAUGCCCUUAGACCUGCUUCCUGACCAGGCGACUUCUGCUUCCCUCCCACUGGACCCCGGGGCUGGGCGCUUUCCUGUCCCGCUCCUGGGCACUGUAAGAGAAGAAGAGCCGCACGCCUUUCCUGUGUCUUCGAGGGAACAGUGCUGGCCCUACCCAAGCAGAUCUUAGGGACCAGUCAGGCAUUAAAAUGGAGGACUUGCACUGGGUGGGGGAACUCUGGGGUAGACCCUACUGAUCCAAGGUCCUACAGAAAGUGUUAGAACAGGAGCUGAGGCAGAUCUGUCUGAAUUUGUGCUUAGGCAAUCCUAGGUUCUGGGGACCUUGGAUGGGCUCAGGACUUGAUCUAUGAAAUUUUCUUUACAGGUGUGAAAUCAGUAUGUGAACACAUUUUCACAUUAGUGGGUGAUCGUGGGUCUGAUGUUGGAGGAGGUAAAAGGGUCAAUUGUGGAUUCACUGGGCUCUGGGUCCGGUCUGUGUCAUUUCCUGUCACCAUUAUCACAUUUUUACAAUGAUGGAUAUGGUUGAUUUUUUUUGAAGUUCAGGCUGAGGCUGGGUGCCAAUCAAUCAGUGGCUGAAUGCUUCCCAUUGAUGAUGGGUAAGGAGAUCUUGGGUUCAAUUUCCAGAACUGAGGGAAAAUACAAAUUUGGAAAUCUGACAAAAAUAAAACUUUUGGACCAAGCUGC
Peromyscus maniculatus bairdii (prairie deer mouse) is the source of this 940-nucleotide non-coding RNA. Lineage: Eukaryota; Metazoa; Chordata; Mammalia; Rodentia; Cricetidae. The record is from RefSeq and is a predicted model, not a curated record.